AUAGUUUGAUUCUUGCUAUGUUUUUUGCUAGUUGGCUUGAAUAGUAUAUGCAAAUGUUAGUGGUUAUAGUGUCAGAAAUGUUCAUUUGAAAUGGGCGUGAGAUUUGAAGUUUAGUUCCCGACUACGAAAAAAGAAAAGCAGUACUAAAAAUUUAACAAUCAACUCAGGUUGGAUUAAGUAAAGGCCAUUUAGAUCAGGUUAAAACUUGUGCCAGCAUCCGCGGUUAGACUUGGGGAUCUAGUGAAAAAUUAUAAGCCACUGGUUAGACGAGAAGCUUUAUUUAUUAAGUGCUUGAGCCGAUAAGGGGUGAAAUUUGAGUAUCGGGAUAAUUAUUAAGGGCUAAUGAAAAUGAGCUAAGGUUGAAGCCGAGGAAUUUUAGGUAUGGACCAGGAUUAGAUACCCUGUUACACUAAUAAGAUUAAAUUUGUGGCUGGAGUAUUUAUAAUUAAUACGUUUGAAAUUCAAAGAACCUGGCGGUACUUUAGUCUAGUUAGAGGAACCUGUUGUAUAAACGAUAAACCACGUAGAAUCUUUCUUACUCUUGUUGCGCUAGUAUACCUUCAUUGUCAGAUAAUCUUUUGUAUAUGGAUUAUCGUGAUUGAGUAAAAUCAAAUAUAUUAGAUCAAGGUGCUGCUGAUGAGUGAGUAUGAAUGGGUUACAAUAUUUCUUAAGAGGCCGAAUAUGUUGGGAAGGUUAACAUAUGAAGAUGGAUUUAAUUGUAAAUUUUGGAUUUAAUAAGCUAAAAUGAUAAUAGCUCUAAAGUGUGUACAUAUUGCCCGUCGCUUUCAUUAAAUUAGAUGAGAUAAGUCGUAACAUAGUAGGUGUACUGGAAAGUGCACCUAGA
RNAcentral lists this non-coding RNA (844 nucleotides) under Panulirus argus (Caribbean spiny lobster). The record is from RNAcentral. Lineage: Eukaryota; Metazoa; Arthropoda; Malacostraca; Decapoda; Palinuridae.